AGAGAGAGACAUGCGCGCAUAUCAAUAAGCGGAGGGAAAAGAAACUAACAAGGAUUCCCCUAGUAACGGCGAGUGAAGCGGGAAGAGCUCAAAUUUGAAAUCUUAAAGGGUUUCCCUUUACGAAUUGUAGUUUAAAGAAGUGUUUUCUGUUGAAGUUUUGGUAAAAGUUCUUUGGAAUAGGACAUCAUAGAGGGUGAGAAUCCCGUAUUUGACCUUUACUUUCAACUUUGUGAUACACUUUCAAAGAGUCGGAUUGUUUGGGAAUGCAGUCCAAAAUGGGUGGUAAAUUUCAUCUAAAGCUAAAUAUUGGCGAGAGACCGAUAGCGAACAAGUACCGUGAGGGAAAGAUGAAAAGAACUUUGAAAAGAGAGUUAAACAGUACGUGAAAUUGUCAAAAGGGAAGCGUUUGACACCAGUGUUGUUUUUCUGAAAAUCAAUUAAAGAACUGUUUAUGCUAAGCUUGUUUAGACUUUAUCAGCUAUACUGUUUAGUUUUGAGCUUUUCUUUAAUGCACUUUUCAGUUAACAAGUCAACAUCAAUUUCUUUUGCUGUAAAAAAGCUUGAGGAAGGUGGCUUGAGAUUCGUCUUAAGUGUUUAUAGCCUCUUGCCUAUGCAGUCGGAGAGAUUGAGGUCUGCAGCGUAGAUCCUUCGGGGCUAAAUGCAUUUGUGCUAAGUUAUAGCAUUUUAUAGACAACUUGUUGACUAUGAUUUGUCUUGUAGCUUACUCGCUUAUGUUAUUUUACCUACGCUUAGGAUGUUGACGCAUGAGAUAUACGC
This 777-nucleotide ribosomal RNA is filed under the name uncultured Neocallimastigales. Its description in RNAcentral is "partial large subunit ribosomal RNA". It matches the Rfam family "Eukaryotic large subunit ribosomal RNA", at positions 1 to 647 of the family's 3401-position model. Lineage: Eukaryota; Fungi; Neocallimastigomycota; Neocallimastigomycetes; Neocallimastigales. The record is from RNAcentral.